UACAAUUCGAAUGUUUGCAAACAAUAAUUCAUGAUGAGUGCACGCACAACAUUAAAAAACACAUGUGAAUUUCGAGGAUAUAUUAGUGGAUUACAAAAACACAUGUGAAACUCAUGGAUAUAUUUGUGGAUCUCGAAAAUACAUGUGAAAAUCUUGGAUAUAUUUGUGCAUCGACAAAAGAUAUGUGUAAAUCGCGAAAGUAUUUGUGAGAAUAUUUUUGAGACAAAUCUCUCCCCAUAGUUUUUCACACCCCUUUCCAGCGCAACAUGUCUGAAAUGUUUUUUUUGUUUUUUUUGUUGGAGACUUUAUCAUCAACAGAAACUUUUAGACAGGAUACCUCAGUCAUCAGGUACAUCAGCUACCGACUCUACUGAGGUAAGACAAGAAAGUGACACUGAACAAAUGGCUAGCACACCAUCUGGUUGGAAAUCCACAGAACAAAGAAGGACACUUUACAGUGCAGGGCUGCUAUUGAGGACCAUUCUAAGCGAAUCACCCUCACUGAAAUGCCCAUGGCCUCCCACAGCAGAAGAUUUAAAUGUAUGUGAAGCGAAAGCUGUUGUGCCUGUUGAACAGUACAAUCGAUUGGUGCAACAGAAGAACCAACACUAGCCGGCAAAAGGGCAAACUACGAGGCAGCAGUAAUGCGACAUUGUCUGACUGGUAUGAUGUGUGCCCCUUCACCAAUUGGCAAUGGAUGGGACAUUGAGGAUGGUGAAUUAACAGUAAAAUGGAUGACUAGAAAUCCUGCCCCAGAUAGUGUGCUACAGGUAAUCCACUGUGGUUGCAAGAUAAGCAAGUGUGAGACUGAAAGAUGUUCAUGCUUGUCUGCAAAAAUGUCCUGUACAGAUUUAUGCCACUGCCAGGACUGUGAAAAUAUUUCAAAGGAAAUGGGAUGAUGACACUGAUGAUACUGAUAUUGAUGAGUAAUCACCCACCAUCUCUCCUAUGUUUAGUUUCAUUAUCAAAAUGUUACUCUCCAUUUUAACACCUUUAAAACAACAACAAAAAAAGGCUCUUUUCCCUUUUCCAAAAAAAUAGACCUUUGUUCAAUUUGACUGCCAAAAAAGAUGGAUGUUCCAAUGAA
Molecule: long non-coding RNA, 1087 nt
Organism: Corythoichthys intestinalis (scribbled pipefish)
Lineage: Eukaryota; Metazoa; Chordata; Actinopteri; Syngnathiformes; Syngnathidae
Exons: 2
Source: RefSeq, a predicted model, not a curated record